This 87-nucleotide transfer RNA is filed under the name Pseudomonas sp. RNAcentral describes it as "tRNA-Leu". It matches the Rfam family "tRNA". Rfam says of the family: Transfer RNA (tRNA) molecules are approximately 80 nucleotides in length. Their secondary structure includes four short double-helical elements and three loops (D, anti-codon, and T loops). The record is from RNAcentral. Lineage: Bacteria; Pseudomonadati; Pseudomonadota; Gammaproteobacteria; Pseudomonadales; Pseudomonadaceae.
GCCCCGAUGGUGAAAUCGGUAGACACAUCAGACUUAAAAUCUGACGACCGCAAGGUCAUGCCGGUUCGAUUCCGGCUCGGGGCACCA